This is a long non-coding RNA of Pipistrellus kuhlii (Kuhl's pipistrelle), 314 nucleotides long. RefSeq lists it as uncharacterized. The record is from RefSeq and is a predicted model, not a curated record. The transcript is spliced from 3 exons. Lineage: Eukaryota; Metazoa; Chordata; Mammalia; Chiroptera; Vespertilionidae.
GGACAUUGGCAUCCAAUCAGCAUUUAGGUCAUCGGGGGCGGGUCCUGGACCAGCAACAGCCAAUGACAGCACAGAAGGGAAGUUAGGCGUGGGAAAGCGACGCCAGCGGGGGGCGUUCCCAGGUCUCCGCGGGAGCCUGAAAAAUGAGGUCACAAAUCCGGUAGGGAAACUCUGACAGCUGUCAGGAAGGAGGCUAUUGAAUUCGUUGGAGAAUGAGUGCUGUCCCAAACUUGGAACCAAGACAUUGAUACCUGCUUGUGCGGAAACUCUGCAGUCCCUGUCUGAAAAGCUUCACCCCUUUCUUACUAAGGUCA